This 256-nucleotide unclassified non-coding RNA is filed under the name plant metagenome. RNAcentral describes it as "partial contains small subunit ribosomal RNA and internal transcribed spacer 1". The stretch from base 1 to 47 matches the Rfam family "Eukaryotic small subunit ribosomal RNA", at positions 1785 to 1831 of the family's 1831-position model. The record is from RNAcentral.
AAUGUCGUAACAAGGUUUCCGUAGGUGAACCUGCGGAAGGAUCAUUACCGAGAUAGGGUUCCUUCGGGGGACCCGACCUCCAACCCACUGUUUACAAAAUCCCAUGUUGCCUCGGCGGAACGUCGGUGAGCUUCGAUAGAAGCCCCAGCCUCAGACCCUGAUUUUAAGGGUAUCGGAGCGCUUUCGCCGGCGGAAUUAUACACGAAAGCCCUUGCUGAAACCUGGCCGUCUGAGUGAAAACUUUAAUACUCAAAAU